RNAcentral lists this ribosomal RNA (463 nucleotides) under Vreelandella stevensii. Its description in RNAcentral is "partial 16S ribosomal RNA". It matches the Rfam family "Bacterial small subunit ribosomal RNA", at positions 340 to 795 of the family's 1533-position model. The record is from RNAcentral. Lineage: Bacteria; Pseudomonadati; Pseudomonadota; Gammaproteobacteria; Oceanospirillales; Halomonadaceae.
CACGGGCGGCAGCAGUGGGGAAUAUUGGACAAUGGGCGAAAGCCUGAUCCAGCCAUGCCGCGUGUGUGAAGAAGGCCUUCGGGUUGUAAAGCACUUUCAGUGGGGAAGAAAGCCUUGGGGCUAAUACCCUCGAGGAAGGACAUCACCCACAGAAGAAGCACCGGCUAACUCCGUGCCAGCAGCCGCGGUAAUACGGAGGGUGCGAGCGUUAAUCGGAAUUACUGGGCGUAAAGCGCGCGUAGGCGGUCUGAUAAGCCGGUUGUGAAAGCCCCGGGCUCAACCUGGGAACGGCAUCCGGAACUGUCAGGCUAGAGUGCAGGAGAGGAAGGUAGAAUUCCCGGUGUAGCGGUGAAAUGCGUAGAGAUCGGGAGGAAUACCAGUGGCGAAGGCGGCCUUCUGGACUGACACUGACGCUGAGGUGCGAAAGCGUGGGUAGCAAACAGGAUUAGAUACCCUAGUAGUC